UUUUUAUUCCCAAUUACAGUUUUGUGUCUCCAGCUUCUUACUAGACGUUUCCACCUGGAUGUCUUAUUACCUCAAACACAACAUUUCUGAAAUUCAACUUACAUUCUUUCGGAGAUUGGCACUGAGAUUUAUUUUCGGGGAUGCAGUUUCUCUCAGAGAUUAUUGAUGUUUUGCAGCAGUUUUCUACGUCUGAAAUUUUUUAUGUCUCUGGAACCCAGAAUUUAUUAAGAGAUGGAGGAACCUCAGAAAAACUAUCUGAACACAAUGGACCUUGAGAAAGACGAACCUCUCAAAAGCACCGGCCCUCAGAUUUCUGUUAGUGAAUUUUCUUGCCACUGCUGCUAUGACAUCCUGGUUAACCCCACCACCUUGAACUGUGGGCACAGCUUCUGCCGUCACUGCCUUGCUUUGUGGUGGGCAUCUUCAAAGAAAACAGAAUGUCCAGAAUGCAGAGAAAAAUGGGAAGGUUUCCCAAAAGUCAAUAUUCUCCUCAGGGAUGCCAUUGAAAAGUUAUUUCCUGAUGCCAUUAGAAUGAGAUUUGAAGACAUUCAGCAGAAUAAUGACAUAGUCCAAAGCCUUGCAGCGUUUCAGAAAUAUGGGAAUGAUCAGAUUCCUUUAGCUCCUAACACAGGCCGGGCGAAUCAGCAGAGGGGAGGGGGAUUCUUUUCCGGUGUGCUCACAGCUUUAACUGGAGUGGCAGUGGUCCUGCUCGUCUAUCACUGGAGCAGCAGGGAAUCUGAACACGACCUCCUGGUCCACAAGGCUGUGGCCAAAUGGACGGCGGAAGAAGUUGUCCUCUGGCUGGAGCAGCUGGGCCCUUGGGCCUCUCUUUACAGGGAAAGGUUUUUAUCUGAACGAGUAAAUGGAAGAGACAGGGUUUUGCCAUGUCGCCCAAGCUGGUCUUGAACUCCUGGACUCAAACGAUCCGCCCACCUGAGCCUCCCAAAGUGUUGUGAUUAUAGGCAUGAGCCCCUGCACCCUCCUCAUGGAAGAUUCUGAAGACCCACAGUCAGAAAGAUGGAGUCUCGCUCUGUCGUUCAGGCUGGAAUGUAGUGGUGUGAUCCCGGC
This is an RNA transcript of Piliocolobus tephrosceles (Ugandan red Colobus), 1068 nucleotides long. It is a transcript of the gene named bifunctional apoptosis regulator, with no coding region annotated. The record is from RefSeq and is a predicted model, not a curated record. Lineage: Eukaryota; Metazoa; Chordata; Mammalia; Primates; Cercopithecidae. The transcript has 6 exons.